GACGAACGCUGGCGGCGUGCUUAACACAUGCAAGUCGAACGGAAAGGCCCUGCUUUUGUGGGGUGCUCGAGUGGCGAACGGGUGAGUAACACGUGAGUAACCUGCCCUUGCCUUUGGGAUAACUUCAGGAAACUGGGGCUAAUACCGGAUAGGAGCUCCUGCUGCAUGGUGGGGGUUGGAAAGUUUCGGCGGUUGGGGAUGGACUCGCGGCUUAUCAGCUUGUUGGUGGGGUAGUGGCUUACCAAGGCUUUGACGGGUAGCCGGCCUGAGAGGGUGACCGGCCACAUUGGGACUGAGAUACGGCCCGGACUCCUACGGGAGGAAGCAGUGGGGAAUAUUGCACAAUGGGCGGAAGCCGAAUGCAGCAACGCCGCGUGCGGGAUGACGGCCUUCGGGUGUUAACCCGCUUUCGCCUGUGACGAAGCGUGAGUGACGGUAAUGGGUAAAGAAGCACCGGCUAACUACGUG
Molecule: ribosomal RNA, 468 nt
Filed under: uncultured bacterium
Lineage: Bacteria
Description: partial 16S ribosomal RNA
Rfam family: Bacterial small subunit ribosomal RNA
Source: RNAcentral